AUCCCUUCUCGGCCUCUUAGCUAAAAUCAAGUGUAGUAUCCAUGCUUGUGGGUUUUAUGCCACACAUAUCUUCAGUAUGAGGACUGAGUAUAUCCUCA
RNAcentral lists this small nuclear RNA (98 nucleotides) under Tauraco erythrolophus (red-crested turaco). RNAcentral describes it as "U2 spliceosomal RNA". It matches the Rfam family "U2 spliceosomal RNA". From Rfam's summary of the family: U2 is a small nuclear RNA (snRNA) component of the spliceosome (involved in pre-mRNA splicing). Complementary binding between U2 snRNA (in an area lying towards the 5' end but 3' to hairpin I) and the branchpoint sequence (BPS) of the intron results the bulging out of an unpaired adenosine, on the BPS, which initiates a nucleophilic attack at the intronic 5' splice site, thus starting the first of two transesterification reactions that mediate splicing. The record is from Rfam by way of RNAcentral. Lineage: Eukaryota; Metazoa; Chordata; Aves; Musophagiformes; Musophagidae.